RNAcentral lists this ribosomal RNA (120 nucleotides) under uncultured bacterium. RNAcentral describes it as "partial 16S ribosomal RNA". It matches the Rfam family "Bacterial small subunit ribosomal RNA", at positions 215 to 334 of the family's 1533-position model. The record is from RNAcentral.
UCGGUCAGGGAUGAGCUCGCGGCCUAUCAGCUAGUUGGUGAGGUAAUGGCUCACCAAGGCGUCGACGGGUAGCCGGCCUGAGAGGGUGACCGGCCACACUGGGACUGAGACACGGCCCAG